AUACGUAGGGAGCGAGCGUUGUCCGGAAUUACUGGGCGUAAAGGGCGCGUAGGCGGCGCUUCAAGUCGUCUGUCAAAUGGGAGGGCUUAACCCUUUUUCGCAGACGAAACUGGAGAGCUUGAGAAGCAGAGAGGCAAACAGAAUUCCUGGUGUAGCGGUGAAAUGCGUAGAUAUCAGGAAGAAUACCAGUGGCGAAGGCGGUUUGCUGGCUGCAUACUGACGCUGAAGCGCGAAAGCCAGGGGAGCAAACGGGAUUAGAUACCCCGGUAGUCCUGGCAGUAAACGAUGUAUGCUGGGUGUGAGACUAGCGGUAGUUUCGUGCCGAAGUUAACGCGAUAAGCAUACCGCCUGGGGAGUACGGUCGCAAGAUUGAAACUCAAAUGAAUGGACGGGG
This 394-nucleotide ribosomal RNA is filed under the name uncultured bacterium. Its description in RNAcentral is "partial 16S ribosomal RNA". It matches the Rfam family "Bacterial small subunit ribosomal RNA", at positions 523 to 918 of the family's 1533-position model. The record is from RNAcentral.